UGAACAACAUCAGCAUUAUCAUGGUCUCUUGUCUGUGACAUCCUCAGCUAGCCUUGCAAAGAUAGGCCUUACUGUCUUUUUAAUAGGACGCAUUCCUAUCUGGUUUUGAAUUCUGAAGUGGUUUAAAUGAGUAGAUAGACCUGAGACAAAAUUUACCAACUUUUUGCCAUUUCUGUAGUUUAUUAAAAUUUGACGCUUUCCGUAUUUCCUUGAAUAUUUUGCAUCUAAUAUGGCUAUGUUCUUAUGCUGAGCACUAAGAGAAGUCGAUGUAACUUAUGCUAACCAUUUACUAGCUCUGUCACUAAACAUUUACUAGCCCUUACACUUUUUUUUUUAGUUGUUACACUUGGGGUUCGAACCCCAACCCAACACACACACACCCUUGCAAAAAUUAAUCGUGAAAAACUUAGAAACAAACAUACGAGGAUAAGGUUUAGUUCACUUUAACUAUGUUGUUCAAACUUGCAUAAAGUCUUGAUCCCAGUUUUGCAGGAGACAGGUAGGUUACACAAGGCAAUCUCAUCUAAUGUUGGAUGAUUUCAUUAAGUAGUUAGAAGUAUAAAGCUUGCAGCUAUGGAAAAGAUUGUAAACAGAAGCUUGUUACUCAUAAUCCCAUUCUUUUUCUUGAGAUUGCUUUAAGAUAUAUCCAUUUUCUCUGCAGUUCUAAUUGAAUUCAAGAAAAACCCAGAAAUGGUUAUGGAAAAUAUACACAACAAUGCUAAGUAUGAUUCAUGCAGAACCACAGAAGUAGAAUGGAAGUCUCCUUUAAAAUUAUGAAUUACGAGCUAAUCCCUGAUUGUUUUGGUUCUUUGUCCCUUGUUGCUUAUAUAGUGUGGAAUUCAUGUUGAAUAAUUUUUUUUUCAACUAUACUAAAUGUAGAGAUUAAAGUAGUUCAUUUGAAUCAUAAUCCUUAUGUUGUCUACCUCUUUGAUUGUUAAGAUGCUUCACAUUUUCUUAUAUGUUCUUAUUGCAAAUUUAUCAGAUUGAAAAUGAAUACGGAAAUAUUGAAGGGAAGUUUGGGAAAAAAGGAAAGGACAUGUUAAGUGGGCAGCAAAGAUGGCUUUAAGCCUUGGUGCUGGGGUUCCAUGGGUGAUGUGCAGGCAAACUGAUUCUCCGGAUGAAGUUGUAAGAUAGAUGCAUGCAAUGGAUACUACUGUGACGGUUAUACGCCAAAUUCCUAUAACAAACCCACGCUUUGGACUGAAAAUUGGGAUGGAUGAAUUAUGGUGCAUUCUUGGAGAAAGACGGAGCAGGGUUUAGAGGGCAAGUUAAACUUACUAGAUUUCAAAAUGUGGAUAUAGACCUCUCAAAGUCUUUAUGGACCUACCAGGUUGGGCUCAAGGGAGAAUUCUUGAAGAUAUAUGCUGCAGAAGAAAAUGAAAAGGCAGGGUGGACUGAUUUAACUCCAGAUGCUGAUCCAUCGAUAUUAACAAUUUGAUGACACCGCCUCCACCACCUCCAAUAGACCAAGCUUCAGAUGCAAAUUUAAGAUAGUCGCCAUCUAUUUCAGUUCGGGAGUCACAAGAUGAUUCUUAGUUUAUUUACAUUAAUUUACUAAGGAAUGAACUUUAUGAAGUUUUUUUUAUUUUGGUAGGGGUAACCUUAAAAUGAUAACUUUAUGACUUAUUUUAGUAUUGAACAUUAUAAAGAAUUUUAGCAUUAAACAUUUUAUUA
Molecule: RNA transcript, 1674 nt
Organism: Humulus lupulus (European hop)
Lineage: Eukaryota; Viridiplantae; Streptophyta; Magnoliopsida; Rosales; Cannabaceae
Gene name: beta-galactosidase 9-like
Exons: 5
Source: RefSeq, a predicted model, not a curated record